Molecule: long non-coding RNA, 1075 nt
Organism: Vespa mandarinia (Asian giant hornet)
Lineage: Eukaryota; Metazoa; Arthropoda; Insecta; Hymenoptera; Vespidae
Source: RefSeq, a predicted model, not a curated record
AUAAAAUGAUAUAAACGAAUCUAAUAUCGCGAUUUUCACGUAUAUCCCGUACGCUGUGUUCCUAAUAAAGAAAAGAAAAGAAAAGAAAAAAAAAAGAAAAAAAAAAAAAAAAGAAAAUUAUGUAAAAAGUAUCGGAAGCAUCUUUAAAGAAACAUUCAUUUUUAAAUAUUACAAAUACAUAUAUCGGUCGAUCAAAGAAGCUUAAUUUACGCAUGACAAAAGAAUAGAAUAUUAAAGAUUCACGGCAACGUUUCUCAUCUAAUAUCGAGUCAACGAGCGUCUUUUAAAGUCUCGUCCUCGAGAUGAUAGAAAGAAGACAGAGAGAAAGGAAAAGAGAGAGGGAGAGAGAGAGAGAGAGAGAGAGAGACAGAAGAAAAAAAAAUAUAGGAAAGGAGAUAGAGAGGGAAAAAAAAGCCGGGGAGGAAGGAUCAGACAAAACAGAGAAAAAGAAAAUGAGGAAAAGAAAAAAAAAGAGUGCUACGAGAAACGUGUGAAUGAAGAAAGAAGACAACAGUAGUGUAUUAUUCACCAACCCGUUCGAACGGCUACGAUAAAACCAAAUGAAAUCUUUGCGAAGUCCUUCAACGAAAGAUUAUUCUUAUCUCGUCAAAACAAUAUUGACGAGGGAGAUCUAAGGGGGCUAACGAUUAAAGGUGAAGGAAGAUUAGGAAACGGAAGAAAGUAAGAACGAAUACGAAGACGAAUUAAAAGAAGAAAAGAAGAAAAGGAAAAAAGAAACAGAAGAACAAGAAGAAGAAGAAGAAGAAUAAGAAGAAGAAAAAGAAGAAGUAGAAGUAAAAGUAGAAGAAGAAGAAGAAGAAGAAGAUGACGAUGAUGAUGAUGAUGAUGAUGAUGAUGAUGAUGAUGAUGAUGAUGAAGGAAUCUUUGGUGUCUCCUCGAACGGUCCAGGACACGAGGAGGAUGGAAGAGAGCAAAAGCAAGGCGGUGUAUAAGAAGAAGCUCGGAGCGCCGAGAAGCGGGCAGCUGCAAGCACGGCAGGACUUACCUCUGCUGUUUUUAGAACUCCACUCCCAGAACUGCGCGGGCUGAUCCGAGCCAAAACCAAAAUACCAAC